GGUUAGUUUUACCUCAGCAAGUUGGCAGUUACAAUGCUACGUUGGGGUGUUCACCUAGACACAUUGGGCUGUAAGGCAACAAAAGGAGAACAUUUUAAAAGUGAGAGGUGAUUUUCUAUACCCACUGUAUACACAGUCAAUUGCAAAUUCUAUCCUCAACAGCUUUGACCAUACUGUAGAACCAUGAACCACAGCAGGCACCAGGAACCAUACUAGACUGGCCUUGUGACUUCACAGACGUUGAUGGAGAAGACACCCGAAAGGCCAUCUGCGACACUGUCAUGGGGAUUUACAUCAUAAGAAGUGAAAGUACAGACACCAGGUCAGACCCAGAGGAUGUUGGUAGUGAUUGAUGGCAUGGAAUUGCUUCACGACUUGGGCAAUGUUGUUUUGCUUGUACCAAGAUUCUCUGUGUCUGGGCAACCCAAAAGACCAUAAGUACACUUUCGAAGUACAUCAGGUCUUCAUGGAGUUGGAUGGUUACAUGCUGUCUGAUAAAGUGCAAGCACUGAAAACCAAACACUACUGAGACACUUUGUUUGCGGAGUCCUUAACUUUUUCUAAGAACUGACAUUUUCAGUUAUUCAUUAUCAGCCCAUAGAGUAAUGCCUUAACCUUGUUUUUGA
Molecule: long non-coding RNA, 626 nt
Organism: Esox lucius (northern pike)
Lineage: Eukaryota; Metazoa; Chordata; Actinopteri; Esociformes; Esocidae
Exons: 3
Source: RefSeq, a predicted model, not a curated record